Molecule: ribosomal RNA, 125 nt
Filed under: Pectinia paeonia
Lineage: Eukaryota; Metazoa; Cnidaria; Anthozoa; Scleractinia; Merulinidae
Description: partial 18S ribosomal RNA
Rfam family: Eukaryotic small subunit ribosomal RNA
Source: RNAcentral
GUGAGGCUUCCUGACUGGCGCCGAUACUCUGGCAACAGAGCGUCGGAUGCCGGAAAGUUGGUCAAACUUGAUCAUUUAGAGGAAGUAAAAGUCGUAACAAGGUUUCCUGCGGAAGGAUCAUUACC